AGUGAACGCUGGCGGUAGGCCUAACACAUGCAAGUCGAACGGCAGCACAGUAAGAGCUUGCUCUUACGGGUGGCGAGUGGCGGACGGGUGAGGAAUACAUCGGAAUCUACUUUUUCGUGGGGGAUAACGUAGGGAAACUUACGCUAAUACCGCAUACGACCUACGGGUGAAAGCAUGGGAUCUUCGGACCUUUCGCGAUUGAAUGAGCCGAUGUCGGAUUAGCUAGUUGGCUGGGUAAAGGCCCACCAAGGCGACGAUCCGUAGCUGGUCUGAGAGGAUGAUCAGCCACACUGGAACUGAGACACGGUCCAGACUCCUAAGGGAGGCAGCAGUGGGGAAUAUUGGACAAUGGGCGCAAGCCUGAUCCAGCCAUACCGCGUGGGUGAAGAAGGCCUUAGGGUUGUAAAGCCCUUUUGUUGGGAAAGAAAAGCAGCAGGUUAAUACCCCGCUGUUCUGACGGUACCCAAAGAAUAAGCACCGGCUAACUUCGUG
RNAcentral lists this ribosomal RNA (492 nucleotides) under uncultured bacterium. Its description in RNAcentral is "partial 16S ribosomal RNA". It matches the Rfam family "Bacterial small subunit ribosomal RNA", at positions 29 to 507 of the family's 1533-position model. The record is from RNAcentral.